This 484-nucleotide ribosomal RNA is filed under the name uncultured bacterium. Its description in RNAcentral is "partial 16S ribosomal RNA". It matches the Rfam family "Bacterial small subunit ribosomal RNA", at positions 30 to 507 of the family's 1533-position model. The record is from RNAcentral.
AUUGAACGCUGGCGGCAGGCCUAACACAUGCAAGUCGAGCGGAUGAAGGGAGCUUGCUCCUGGAUUCAGCGGCGGACGGGUGAGUAAUGCCUAGGAAUCUGCCUGGUAGUGGGGGAUAACGUCCGGAAACGGGCGCUAAUACCGCAUACGUCCUGAGGGAGAAAGUGGGGGAUCUUCGGACCUCACGCUAUCAGAUGAGCCUAGGUCGGAUUAGCUAGUUGGUGGGGUAAAGGCCUACCAAGGCGACGAUCCGUAACUGGUCUGAGAGGAUGAUCAGUCACACUGGAACGGAGACGCGGUCCAGACUCCUACGGGAGGCAGCAGUGGGGAAUAUUGGACAAUGGGCGAAAGCCUGAUCCAGCCAUGCCGCGUGUGUGAAGAAGGUCUUCGGAUUGUAAAGCACUUUAAGUUGGGAGGAAGGGCAGUAGGUUAAUACCUUGCUGUUUUGACGUUACCAACAGAAUAAGCACCGGCUAACUUCGUG